Molecule: long non-coding RNA, 300 nt
Organism: Hyaena hyaena (striped hyena)
Lineage: Eukaryota; Metazoa; Chordata; Mammalia; Carnivora; Hyaenidae
Exons: 4
Source: RefSeq, a predicted model, not a curated record
GAUGGGUCUGCGGGUUGCAAUCUGAUGCGAAGACCGGUGUUUAUGCAUGUUGCAGGGUCCUAACAAGGAGGAAGCUGAUGGUCUGACACAGGUCCCAAGAAGCAUUUUCACCAACCUCACACGUCCAGGGAUGUGUUGUUAAUGGCUCCCAACCCAUCACUCGUUUACUGGUUCUAUAGGCUUCGACCAUAUCAUUUUUGGGGCUUCAUCUUUCCACCCUAAAGCUCUUACAGGACAAAGCAGCCUAGCUUCUCAGGAAAGUCUUCUACCUGGAGAGAGAGAGAGAGAGAGAGAGAGGGA